This 501-nucleotide ribosomal RNA is filed under the name uncultured bacterium. RNAcentral's name for it is "partial 16S ribosomal RNA". It matches the Rfam family "Bacterial small subunit ribosomal RNA", at positions 30 to 523 of the family's 1533-position model. The record is from RNAcentral.
AUUGAACGCUGGCGGCAUGCCUUACACAUGCAAGUCGAACGGCAGCACGGGUGCUUGCACCUGGUGGCGAGUGGCGAACGGGUGAGUAGUAUAUCGGAACGUACCUUAUUGUGGGGGAUAACGCAGCGAAAGCUGUGCUAAUACCGCAUAAUCCCUAAGGGGGAGAGCGGGGGACCGUAAGGCCUCGCGCAAUUAGAGCGGCCGAUACCUGAUUAGCUAGUUGGUGAGGUAAAGGCUCACCAAGGCAACGAUCAGUAGCUGGUCUGAGAGGACGAUCAGCCACACUGGGACUGAGACACGGCCCAGACUCCUACGGGAGGCAGCAGUGGGGAAUUUUGGACAAUGGGGGCAACCCUGAUCCAGCAAUGCCGCGUGAGUGAAGAAGGCCUCCGGGUUGUAAAGCUCUUUUGUCAGGGAAGAAACAGCAGCUCUAACACAGUUUGCGAAUGACGGUACCUGAAGAAUAAGCACCGGCUAACUACGUGCCAGCAGCCGCCGUAA